GUUUGGGGCAGCAGAAUUCCUAGAGCCGCCCCUGCUUCCACAGUUGGCUACUCGCAACUUAUCUUUGGAUGCAGCUCAAAAUUCUUUACACCAGUUCCUGUUGCUCUUCAGAGCAGGUGACACUGGAAUUGGAGUAAUGGUUUAUGGGUCACUUUUCAGGCCAAAAGCAGCCCUGCUAAUUCUUUGGAUUUCAGGAGAACUGUAUCAGGGAUGAAUUUGUCCCCCUUAUGUCAAAGAGGGGGGAAAACUGCUGUUGCUGUGCCAAUCUACUUUUGCAGAAGGCCGGAAAGCAGGCAGAAGAGCAGUAUCAAGACUUCUCCCCACAAAUAAGUGUUUUGGGAGGUGGAAGGUAUGUGCAGCUCAUCCUGUGCCUGGGGCUGGAGGAGAGUGCAUUGCAGUCAGUGGUGGAAAAUGAGCUGGUCUGUGUCCACACAUUCUGGGCUUUUGGUGCAAACUUUGAAGGAAAAAUCAAAUAUAUUGAUCAGAUUUCUUCAAAGCUGCUUCAGUAAAGUGGCAUGGCUGGUGGUCAAUUCCUGCAGGGUAGCCUACAGUGACUUGACAAGUCCCAGUCACCAGGAAACCUGAGUCUGCUAUCUUGACCUCCUCAGGCAAGUAUGGAUCUUUUUUUCCAUCCUGGCUUUCUGCUAUACAUAUCUGGCGAUAGCCUAUUUAUCCAAUAUAUCUCUCUCCAAGUGUUGUUAAUCUGACAGCUAAGGCAGUGAGAACCCUGUAGAGUUCAGUUCAUGAAGGGGAUUACAAACCAGUCCUUGCACUUCAAAUUGCAGUGAUUCAAAGGAAACCAACACCCGGAGCUUCACCUGAGUUAAUCCCUACUGCAGAUACAUUUCUUACACAGAUGCUUUCAACAGGCUGGAUUCUGAUACUCUACUCACAUGGAGAAGUACCUUGUUUCACAAGUACUUCCAUUGUCCAACUCACCCUGUAACCUAUUGCUGGGAAAGAGGGCCGCUCUUCAGAAGAGAGGUAAAUUGGCUGAGAGAAGGAAGGUUUGCCAGCUUCCCAUCUCAAUGUGUGGUGGAAGAGAAGAAUGUGUAGGGGAAAAUCAACCCAUGUGCUAAACUUUCUCAAGCAUGGGCUGAAAUUCAUGAAUCUAGAGAACUGUAAGCCCAAAGCUCAGUUUCAGGUGAGUUUGAUGUGAAUAUUUUGCACAACUCCCAGUGGCAAAUGCUGUUUUGGAUGUUGUUCUACCCUUGCAGAACAAACAGAGAGCAGAAAUAAGGUCUUAGCUGUCAAAAGUUUUGGAUUGAGUUUCCUUUUAAGAAUGUGACACAAAUUUAAGGCUAAUGUUCUGCAUUUAACUCAAGCUGUCAUCCCUCUGGUGGUGGUGUUUUCUCAUAGGCACCUGAAGGCCAGAGUCUGCUUUGAAGCUUGUGGCUUUUGACAGUUUGUAUCUCUCCAUCCUCAGGAAUGCUGCUAAGGGCAGCACUUUCAAUGCAUCCUUAUGGACUAGGACAACACAGUGGGGAAAAAACCUCUCAGACACUUCAGAUCUGAGUCAAAGCCCAGUGAAGUCAAUGGGAGUGUUUCAUGGACUUCAAUAGGCUUUGGAUCCGGACCUAAGGACCAAUGUAAAUCAAGAUAAUGGAAUCAUUACCCCUUAAAGCUACUUGCCCUUCAUUGUGGAAUUAGUGACUUCAUCAACUCCAGCAGAACAAACACAGCCUGGCAGGUCCUGCUCCUAAACCAUCUCUGGUUUGACUUCACUGACUCCAGUGGAAUUACAUCAAGGAUGAAUUUGGCCUUAUGGUGUUUUUUAUAGAUUAAUUAUUUGCGUUGGAAACCAGAAUUGCCUACAAUUAGCUCUUGAUCAAUUCUAAAAAUAUUGCCAUCCAACAUGAAAAAAGCAACUAAAAGCUAAGCUGAAGAAUUCCAGCUUGUGUUUGUACCUGUCAGCCAAAAGUAGUGCAACUCUGAUAGUGCUUUCAACUGAUAAUUCUAGCAGAAAUGAGCUGGCCUUGAACUGAGUGAAUUAAAAUGAAGAAGUAGCAUAUGCACACUAACAACCUAAAUUCUCUACUCAGAGGUGUAUGGGAACUCCCAUGCAUUUGUACGUCAGACAGAGAAGUGGUAUUUUUUAAUGUACAGACUUGGCUUACAGCUAGUCUGUCCUCCUGUACCUGUGCAUAUAUUAUGUUUGACUUCACUGCAAGUUGCUCAUGGCUGUCUGAAGGUGGGGAAUUUAUCCCUAUAAUGUGAGAGUUCUCAUUUCAAUAUCUGAAAUAUAAGGGUUUUUUUUUAAGUCACAAGAAAGGGAUAAGAGGCUGAAAGAGAGAUGGUGUUGGCCCAUGAAUGAACUAAGGACCUGUGGAGGUCAGUUUUGAGGUUGGUCUAUGGGAUACACGUUGUGAUAUGUGACACUGUAAGGCAAAUACUACCAUCCAUCAUCAGCCCAAAAGAUAUUUCAGUAUGCUUUCAGUGUACUCCAGGAUGACAUGGAUCAGCUUUAUGAAAACUGGGAUGGAUAGUGGUAUCCAGGUCACAGGCUGUUCAAAUUAUAGUUGGUCAAAAAAAAAAAAAGUGGGGGAGUGAAUUUCCACAAAAACAUUCAAUUUUUUUCAUUUUCAUUAAAAAUUCACAUUUCAAAGUUUCCUUUCCAGCUGAAGCUAAAAUAAACCACCUCAUGAUGGCCUUGACCCUGAAAACAUCUAAUCUGGUGAUUCCCUGAGAUGUAUCCAGAAGGGAAAGAUACAUGUCGCAAAAUCCAAGCAUGUGGCCCUGGAUUCUAAUCUCAUUUACAGCAGUAUAAAUCCAGAGUAACAUCACUAAGGCCUAUGGAGUUACUCUGGAUUUACACCUCCCAGUGUAACCAAGAGGAGAAUCUGAUUAGUGUUGGUCGGAAAUCUUUUUUUUGUUUCUGUUUUUUUCUGUAAAAAAAAAAAAAGAUGGAAACUUUUUUAUUAUUAUUUUCUUCUAAUUUGUUGGGGGGAGGAGAGGGAAGCGGCCUUUUCAUCAAAAACUCAAAAACCAGGAUGAGGGAAAAAUCUUUUGGGGUUUUCAACAAAAACCCAAAAAAAUUGAUGGAAAUUGAAGCUUUUUUGCACAUAUUUUCCAUUUAAUUGAAAGGCCAUUUUCUGUAGAAAAACAGGUGUUGGUGGCAAAUUUUUGACCAGCUCUAAAUCUGACUCAUAAUUCACGCAAAUAAAACAGUGCUAAGCUAAAAUUCAGGAAUGAGGGAGAUAGUGAGAACCCCAUUUCACAUGUGUUCCCUUUCUCAUGAGAUUACAUUCAAGGACAGCUGUAAUUUGAAGAGGAAGGAUGUUCCAGUGGUUAGAUCAGGGGUAGGCAACCUAUGGCAUGUGUGCCGAAGGUGGCACAUGAGCUGAU
This is a long non-coding RNA of Gopherus evgoodei (Goodes thornscrub tortoise), 3345 nucleotides long. RefSeq lists it as uncharacterized. The record is from RefSeq and is a predicted model, not a curated record. The transcript is spliced from 3 exons. Lineage: Eukaryota; Metazoa; Chordata; Testudines; Testudinidae.